RNAcentral lists this ribosomal RNA (468 nucleotides) under uncultured bacterium. RNAcentral describes it as "partial 16S ribosomal RNA". It matches the Rfam family "Bacterial small subunit ribosomal RNA", at positions 28 to 507 of the family's 1533-position model. The record is from RNAcentral.
GACGAACGCUGGCGGCGUGCUUAACACAUGCCAGUCGAACGGAAAGGCCCUGCUUUUGUGGGGUGCUCGAGUGGCGAACGGGUGAGUAACACGUGAGUAACCUGCCCUUGACUUUGGGAUAACUUCAGGAAACUGGGGCUAAUACCGGAUAGGAGCUCCUGCUGCAUGGUGGGGGUUGGAAAGUUUCGGCGGUUGGGGAUGGACUCGCGGCUAAUCAGCUUGUUGGUGGGGUAGUGGCUUACCAAGGCUUUGACGGGUAGCCGGCCUGAGAGGGUGACCGGCCACAUUGGGACUGAGAUACGGCCCAGACUCCUACGGGAGGCAGCAGUGGGGAAUAUUGCACAAUGGGCGGAAGCCUGAUGCAGCAACGCCGCGUGCGGGAUGACGGCCUUCGGGUUGUAAACCGCUUUCGCCUGUGACGAAGCGUGAGUGACGGUAAUGGGUAAAGAAGCACCGGCUAACUACGUG